This 377-nucleotide unclassified non-coding RNA is filed under the name uncultured Oligoflexales bacterium. RNAcentral's name for it is "contains 16S-23S intergenic spacer region". Lineage: Bacteria; Pseudomonadati; Bdellovibrionota; Oligoflexia; Oligoflexales. The record is from RNAcentral.
UCCGGUUUAACACCGGCAGUCUCCAUAGAGUGCCCAACUGAAUGAUGGCAACUAGGGAUAGGGGUUGCGCUCGUUAAGGGACUUAACCCGACAUCUCACGAUACGAGCUGACGACAGCCAUGCAGCACCUGUCCCCCGGCCUCCGAAGAGGAAACCCAGUUUCCUGGGCUGUCCGGGAAUGUCAAGUCUAGGUAAGGUUCUUCGCGUAGCAUCGAAUUAAACCACAUGCUCCACCGCUUGUGCGGGCCCCCGUCAAUUCCUUUGAGUUUUAACCUUGCGGCCGUACUUCCCAGGCGGGGUACUUAAUGCGUUAGCGUCGACACUGCAGGGGUCAAUACCCGCAACAUCUAGUACCCAUCGUUUACGGCGUGGACUAC